This is an unclassified non-coding RNA of Macaca mulatta (Rhesus monkey), 149 nucleotides long. It matches the Rfam family "Metazoan signal recognition particle RNA". From Rfam's summary of the family: The signal recognition particle (SRP) is a universally conserved ribonucleoprotein. It is involved in the co-translational targeting of proteins to membranes. The record is from Ensembl. NCBI's taxonomy places the organism in Eukaryota, Metazoa, Chordata, Mammalia, Primates, Cercopithecidae.
GCCGGGCGUGGUGGCGGGCGCCUGUAGUCCCAGCUACUCGGGAGGCUGAGGCAGGAGAAUGGCGUGAACCCGGGGAGGCGGAGCUUGCAGUGAGCUGAGAUCCAGCCACUGCACUCCAGCCUGGGCGACAGAGCCAGACUCUGUCUCAA